GGCUGAUCAAGACAUGAUCCACGAAUUAGAAAAUGACGCCAGACUUGUGGAACAGUCCCAAGCCGAAGUUGAAGAUGAGGAAGAUAUGAGCCACAAAUUCAGAAAAGAAGACAGGCCUGUGGAACAGUGCCAAGCCGAAGUUGAAGCUGAUGAAGAUGUAGUCUACAAAGAUGGAAAUAGUCUGAGAAGUUGGAUUCACAGAACGAUAUGUUGGCUAAUGAAGACAUGAGCCAUAUAUUCAGAAAAGACGUCAGACCUGUGGAACAGUGCCA
This is a long non-coding RNA of Dreissena polymorpha, 272 nucleotides long. RefSeq lists it as uncharacterized. Lineage: Eukaryota; Metazoa; Mollusca; Bivalvia; Myida; Dreissenidae. The record is from RefSeq and is a predicted model, not a curated record. The transcript is spliced from 4 exons.